UUUGGAUUUGAUUUUGUUUUAGUGUUUUUGAGUUUUUUUUUUAGGUUAUGCGCUGCUUCUAAUGGUAGUACUGAAAGUGUCUACUGAUGGAUUCUGAUGAAGAAGAGAAAAAUUAACAUCUACUUAAGGAUGUUGAUGAGAAAGAUUCGCAUCUACUAAUGGAUGCUACUGAUGGGUGCCAAUGAAGAUAAGAAAGAUUGGUGUCUACUGAGGGACACCAUGGAAGAUUAGCAUCUACUGAUGGAUGCUAUGAUGGAGACUGGUCAAGCUAGUGACGUUAAAGAAGCGCCUGCUGGG
This 297-nucleotide long non-coding RNA is filed under the name Vigna radiata. RNAcentral describes it as "long non-coding RNA (VRAD_LNC013828)". The record is from RNAcentral. Lineage: Eukaryota; Viridiplantae; Streptophyta; Magnoliopsida; Fabales; Fabaceae.